AAUCUCAUACUCUGUGCCGCCCAACACAACACAACUCCAGUGGCUCCAGUCAACCGCAUUCCUUGCCAGUCCGCCCGUCGCCGCCGCCGCCGCGCCGUCCAACUCAUGACUCAGUGAGCGCCACAGAGCAGGCACAGUCCACAUGAGCGAGGGUACCACCUCGCCGGUGCUUGAGCCGGAGCCAGCGCCUCUACCGGACAGCGACGACCUCCACCGGGAGAUCUUCCUCCGCCUCCCGCCGCUCCCCUCCUCCCUCCCCCGCGCCUCCCUCGUCUGCAAGCGCUGGCGUCGCAUCCUCUCCGACCCCGCCUUCCUCCGCCGCUUCCGCGCCCAUCACCGGGCGCCUCCCCUCCUCGGCUUCUUCGCCGACGAGGACGGCGACAUCGAGUUCGUGCCCACGCUGCGCCGGCCCGACCGCAUCCACCGCGAGCGCUUCUCCCUGCCGCGGCGCGACGGCGGCGAGUUCCUGAGCUUCCUCGGAUGCCGCCACGGCCUCGCCCUCCUCAUCGACCGCGCGCGUCUCGAGGCCCUCGUGUGGAACCCCGUCACCGGCAGCCAGCGCCGAGUACCUUUCCCGCUGGGGUUCGGCCAAGGACACAACGUCUACAGAGGCGCCGUCCUGAGCUCCUCCGGCGACGGCCACGUGCACGGUGAUUGCCUCCUGAUCCCCUUCAAAUUGGUACUGGUGCAUCAUGCUGAUCUCCGUGGCGCGAUUGUGUCCGCCUGCCUAUAUGAAUCGGAGUCUGGAAAAUGGAGCAAUGUCAGCUCAAUGCCUAUUCCACAUUUCUCUCGUUUGCACCAGCCCGGUGUCCUAGUUGGGCAUCAAGUUUACUGGAUGCUAUUGGGAACUAGCGACAUCCUUGAGUUUGAUUUGAAUGGCCAGAGUCUAGCUGUAAUUCAGAAGCCAGAGGACGCCCAUGUUAAAAGCAAUUCAGGCCUUCAGGCCUUACGGACAGAAGAUAACAAGCUUGGCCUUGCAAAUAUUUCAGAACUGGGCAUCCAAUUGUGGGGGAGGGAGACCAAUUCAGAUGGUGUUGGUAGAUGGGUGCUAUUGAAAACUGUUGAACUAAACAAGCUCCGUUCAAUAAGUCCGUCAAUGAGGAUACAACCAGCAACGAUUCUGGGGUUUGAUGAGGAUAACAACGCUUUUUAUAUCUGUACGAAUAUUGGCCUCUACAUGAUCCAGCUUGAGUCAUUGCAGUUCACAAGACUUUUUGACGGCGAUAUGUUUACUGCCUACUAUCCCUACACAAGUUUCUACACUGCAGGCUUGGGCAUUCGUGGUGGAGAUGAUAGAGCUGAAAUCCUGAACAAUGCAUGAGACGAUUAUCCAAUAUAUCUGAGGUGUUUGAUUAACAGCUUUCCUUGGUGUUCAUUGGUGUGUUGGACUUUUCUUCUUGGAAUUGGUGGUGGAAAUGAUAGAGCUGAAAUGUCGAUCAAUACAUGAAAUGAUCGCCCCGUUUUGAAGUGUCAUGCUGGUUGAACAAUGGAUGUGAAUUUAUCUUCUACUACAUGUAUGUCUGUAUGAUUGCCCCAAGGGCGAGGACGCUAAGGCCAGUUCCGCCCACCGCCUUCCACGGUGACUUCGCUCGACAGUCGCAGCCCUGUGCCAUGGUGGCACCAUCCACCUCCUCUGGAUAAGAAUAGGAAGCUGCAGCCCCGCUGAGGCUGGCCGUGUGCCGAAUCUGGCACCCAACUCUCUGUGCCAUUGCUGCUGGUGACAUGGGCGAUUUUCUCAGGCUCCGGUGGAGUUCGGACCCGUUCUUCAGGUUCCCAAUGGCGACUGCGCUGGUUGAGCCACGCGAGAAUGUCAGAGAACACCAGCUCCACAUUCUCAUCAGGCUCGCCGGCGGUGAGGCCAUGCCACAUCCCCGGGUAGAGCUUGAAGGUCUUGUCGGUGCUGGCUGCCCCCUCAUACAGGGCUCGGCUGACCUCUGGGUCGGUCACCGUGUCUGCCUCGCCGUGCAGGACGAGGAAUGGCAUCCUCACCUAGAGGAAACAUAUCCAUAAGUUAUAGAUUAAAAAUCUCGUGCAUCUCUUGAUUGAGAAAGCUAAACACAAAUUAUGGAUAAACAAAUCUUGCUAGCAGCCUGAGGUUAUUAGAGUACCUCUGACAUACUGUCUUCUACAUCCUUGCUGGUUCUGAGCAGCUCCAGCGCUGUCUUCAGCCGGGGCUUGUCCUGGUAGAUGAGCUUGUUCUUCCUGAUCUGCCCAUGGUUGCAGAAGAACUCUAUUCACGUUCUCGAAGAAAAAACAACCUAAUUCAGCGAUAA
RNA transcript from Panicum hallii, 2273 nucleotides. RefSeq lists it as uncharacterized. The transcript is spliced from 4 exons. Lineage: Eukaryota; Viridiplantae; Streptophyta; Magnoliopsida; Poales; Poaceae. The record is from RefSeq and is a predicted model, not a curated record.